Molecule: unclassified non-coding RNA, 377 nt
Filed under: uncultured Actinomycetes bacterium
Lineage: Bacteria; Bacillati; Actinomycetota; Actinomycetes
Description: uncultured actinobacterium contains 16S-23S intergenic spacer region
Source: RNAcentral
UCCGGUUUAUCACCGGCAGUCCCUGCAGAGUCCUCGGCUUUACCCGUUAGCAACAGCAGGCAAGGGUUGCGCUCGUUGCGGGACUUAACCCAACAUCUCACGACACGAGCUGACGACAGCCAUGCACCACCUGCACACCAACCACAAGGGAAACUAUAUCUCUAUAGCUGUCUGGCGCAUGUCAAACCCAGGUAAGGUUCUUCGCGUUGCAUCGAAUUAAUCCACAUGCUCCGCCGCUUGUGCGGGCCCCCGUCAAUUCCUUUGAGUUCUAGCCUUGCGGCCGUACUCCCCAGGCGGGGCGCUUAAUGCGUUAGCUACGGCACGGAAAACAAAAAUGCUCCCCACACCUAGCACCCAACGUUUACAGCGUGGACUAC